This 253-nucleotide ribosomal RNA is filed under the name uncultured prokaryote. RNAcentral's name for it is "partial 16S ribosomal RNA". It matches the Rfam family "Bacterial small subunit ribosomal RNA", at positions 524 to 776 of the family's 1533-position model. The record is from RNAcentral.
GACGAACCGAGCGAACGUUGUUCGGAAUCACUGGGCUUAAAGGGCGCGUAGGCGGGCUGUCAAGUCUGGGGUGAAAUCCCGCGGCUUAACCGUGGAACUGCCUCAGAUACUGAUGGCCUCGAGGGAGAUAGGGGCGAGCGGAACUAAUGGUGGAGCGGUGAAAUGCGUUGAUAUCAUUAGGAACUCCGGUGGCGAAGGCGGCUCGCUGGGUCUCUUCUGACGCUGAGGAACGAAAGCUAGGGGAGCAAACGGG